This 1068-nucleotide ribosomal RNA is filed under the name uncultured crenarchaeote. RNAcentral's name for it is "bacterial SSU rRNA". It matches the Rfam family "Archaeal small subunit ribosomal RNA", at positions 268 to 1362 of the family's 1478-position model. The record is from RNAcentral. Lineage: Archaea; Thermoproteati; Thermoproteota.
CGCGGGAUUCGCCGCGCGCGGCGGGCGGGACGGGGACACGGGACGGGGUGCAGCAGGUGCGAAAACUCCGCAAUACACGAAAGUGUGACGGGGUCAUCCCGAGUGCCAUCCGCUGAGGAUGGCUUUUCCCCAGUGUAUAAAGCUGGGGGAAUAAGGAGAGGGCAAGCCUGGUGUCAGCCGCCGCGGUAAUACCAGCUCUCCGAGUGGUGGGGAUGCUUAUUGGGCCUAAAGCAUUCGUAGCCUGCUUGGCAAGUCCUCCGUUAAAUCCAACGAUUCAAUCGUUGGGCUGCGGGGGAUACUGUCCGGCUAGGGGGCGGGAGAGGCCGACGGUAUCCUCGGGGUAGGGGUGAAAUCCUAUAAUCCCGGGAGGACCACCAGUGGCGAAGGCUGUCGGCUAGAACGCGCUCGACGGUGAGGGAUGAAAGCUGGGGGAGCGAACCGGAUUAGAUACCCGGGUAGUCCCAGCUGUAAACGAUGCAGGCUAGGUGUUGGCGCGGCUACGUGCCGCUCCAGUGCCGCAGGGAAGCCGUUAAGCCUGCCGCCUGGAGAGUACGGCCGCAAGGCUGAAACUUAAAGGAAUGGCGGGGGAGCACCACAAGGUGUGAAGCUGCGGGUUAAUUGGAGUCAACGCCGGAAAUCUCACCGGGGGCGACAGCAGAAUGAAGGUCAGAUUGAAGGUCUUACCAGACAAGCUGAGAGGAGGUGCAUGGCCGUCGCCAGUUCGUGCCGUGAGGUGUCCUGUUAAGUCAGGCAACGAUCGAGACCCGUGUCCCCUGUUGCCACCGGCCUUGAGCCGAGCACACUGGGGAGACUGCCGCCGACAAGGCGGAGGAAGGAGCGGGCCACGGCAGGUCAGUAUGCCCCGAAUCCCCCGGGCUACACGCGAGCUGCAAUGGCAGGUACAGAGGGUACCGACUCUGAAAAGAGAAGGAAAUCCCGAAAGCCUGCCGUAGUUGGGAUCGAGGGUUGAAACUCACCCUCGUGAACAUGGAAUACCUAGUAACCGCGUGUCACUACCGCGCGGUGAAUACGUGCCUGCUCCUUGCACGAAUUCGCCGAAUCACUAGU